This 307-nucleotide ribosomal RNA is filed under the name uncultured eukaryote. Its description in RNAcentral is "partial 18S ribosomal RNA". It matches the Rfam family "Eukaryotic small subunit ribosomal RNA", at positions 1470 to 1796 of the family's 1831-position model. The record is from RNAcentral.
CCCUUAGACGUUCUGGGCCGCACGCGCGCUACACUGACACAGGCAACGAGCUUUCCUUUACCGAAAGGUAUGGGUAAUCUUUUGAAACUGUGUCGUGCUGGGGAUAGAUCCUUGCAAUUUUUGAUCUUAAACGAGGAAUUCCUAGUAAGCGCGAGUCAUCAACUCGCGUUGAUUACGUCCCUGCCCUUUGUACACACCGCCCGUCGCUACUACCGAUUGAAUGGCUUAGUGAGGCCGCAGGAUCCGCGCUUAAUGUGUGGAGAAUUUGGACAAACUACGUCAUUUAGAGGAAGUAAAAGUCGUAACA